UAAUUCCUGGGGUGUUCGACCCUCUUACUUCAUUUGAACCUACAGUAUGACGUAAGGGAUUCCAAUAUUUUCAGGUGGAUGUCAGGCCUCCAUUAUGAGUGGAAGGCAGAAGCCUGAGUGAGGUUGCCCACCUAGCUUGGCUAGGAGUCAAACAGUAAGAGACGGCAUUUUGGGAUUAC
RNAcentral lists this non-coding RNA (179 nucleotides) under Candidatus Lachnoclostridium pullistercoris. Its description in RNAcentral is "6S RNA". It matches the Rfam family "6S / SsrS RNA". Rfam says of the family: E. coli 6S RNA was the first non coding RNA to be sequenced, but its function was unknown until recently. It consists of 184 nucleotides that fold into an extended hairpin structure with a large single-stranded internal bulge. The record is from RNAcentral. Lineage: Bacteria; Bacillati; Bacillota; Clostridia; Lachnospirales; Lachnospiraceae.